GUAAAUGUUAUGGUUUUAAAUUCUAUUAUAAACAAUCAGUGAAAAUUGCAUGUAUCUACAGUAAUUCAUUUUAGAGUAACACCACUUAGACGAAAAACCAAAACCGAUUUUACGUAAAAAUUCACGUUUUUCUAAAUUUUUUUUUUUGUUUUUCCAGGCCCUUUCGGAGACUAGUUAGGUACUGUUCAUUUCGACAUCCCCUAUGCACCUCCUAGAUUCACUUUCCCCCCGGAAAAGAUGAAAAGCGAAGCAUUAUUUCGACUACUUAUCGUGUACACCGCCCCAAAUAAUAAAAAUGUAUUACGUAGAACGUAAAUUUGCUAAUAGUUUCAAUAUAGUUCGAUUCGCUCUAAUUUUUAAACUAACGAUGCUAAAUGUGAUCUGCUCAUCGUAAAUUUUCUAUAUUAGACGGAGACAAUAAAAUGCCCGUGUUACGUCUUAAACCGUUGAGCUGCGUCGUUUUGCGAAGUUUCAAAAAUGUAAUGCCCGCGAUUCUGUCUUAUCACCAUGUACCGCCAAAUAGUAAUAACUGUUAUCAAAUAAAUAACAACAUAAUAUUAUUAUUUUUUCGUUUGCCGACUUUAAAUUUGACUCGCUCGCGAAUCGCGAUUAUUUGAAAUUUGAACAAAAAAUACAGACUACAGCGAACAGUCGUACAGAUUUCUAUCCAUACAUUUUAAUAUAAAAUCACCAUGGAUAAGUGUAUUGUUUUUAGUCAAACAUCCAAAGCAUCGCCUCGCCACAUUACGUACAUUUUCAUUUAUUUCCAAGAAAUCAAUGAAAUAGAAGGAAAUAGGUAAUGGCUAAAAAUAUUCGAAUCAAACGAUUAUCCUAAUUUCUAUCAGUCCAUAGUAUCUGUGGUAAUCAUUUCACAACUACUAGUGAUUGUAAACAAUGUUCUCAAAACAUAAUCCAAACCACUUGUCUGAGAGAGAGAAGUGAAAUAAAUGUUAUUAAUUUACGGCAACAUUGGUACUACUCUGCGCGCACGACUAGUAAAUCGCAUCUAAGAGAAAAUCUUGUUUCUCCAACGAUGGGGCUAGAAGUAAAUGAACAGACAAAUAAAGAAUUUGGAGGCCAUGAUUUUAAUUCACACAUAAAAGCCUUGAUACCCAAUAAUGUCUAAUUCACACACACUUAUUUCAUACAGUGAAUUAUACUUAUUAUGGUUUUCAAAACUUAAAUGUAUGAUGUACUACAUACACGGAACUGGGACGUGGAGCCUGCAAAGUAUUGACAAAUUUUCAGACGUUGACUUUCUUGGAGAUAACUCUACCGUCUCAGAUGAAGCCAUACAAUAUUGGAGAGAAUUAUGAAACUUAAAGGAGAGAAUAUUGUUGAUAGGUUUUUAUUCCAAAUCUAUUUUACUGUGCUAUUAACUAACAUACCCACCUGUUCACGGGCACAUAGUAUUAUAUCUAAUUGUGUGCGUGGACAUAUAUUUGUCUAUGGAAAGGGCUAAACCCGU
Molecule: long non-coding RNA, 1468 nt
Organism: Acyrthosiphon pisum (pea aphid)
Lineage: Eukaryota; Metazoa; Arthropoda; Insecta; Hemiptera; Aphididae
Exons: 4
Source: RefSeq, a predicted model, not a curated record